Myodes glareolus (Bank vole) is the source of this 562-nucleotide long non-coding RNA. RefSeq lists it as uncharacterized. The record is from RefSeq and is a predicted model, not a curated record. NCBI's taxonomy places the organism in Eukaryota, Metazoa, Chordata, Mammalia, Rodentia, Cricetidae.
CCGAAUAAUGGCAGUCAGUGGGGAAUCUGAACGGGGACCUAAAGCGCCUGCAUCUUUGAAGGCUUGUGCUUUAUUUUUAAAAUUCGGAUGAACUUUGCAUUCCAAUGCGUGAAGCAUCUUGAUUUGAUUUCAUUUACAAGAGCUUCUCUUUCAGGCUGCUGGAGAAAUAAAUGAACCCUCCAAGAAGAUGUGCCCUGUGUACCUUGGAAAAUCACCAAGAAUUCCAAGUGCAUGCGGCAUGACGACACCAUCUCGAAAGGACUCUGGAGGGACCUUAGGGAACGCAGUCCCUCCCACCCCUGGGUGUGCUCCUGUGUCUUCACCCUCACCACAGAAUAAGUCCUGCAAUGUGGCCACGCAAGUCAACUCAGGAGGAGACAUGGGUGCUGGAGCUGGUAAUCACCACUUGUGAUUUCACAAUGGUGUUUGCAGGAAGAAGACAGAAGAGGCAAUCGGGAUGAUAAGGGUGAAUUUGUUUAACUAAAUACCAUCAGAUAAAUUAGUAAAAGUAUUUUAAAUAAAGUAUGACAUGUGAGAAUCAUCCCUUUAGGGAUGCAGAAAA